Molecule: long non-coding RNA, 1283 nt
Organism: Dermacentor andersoni
Lineage: Eukaryota; Metazoa; Arthropoda; Arachnida; Ixodida; Ixodidae
Source: RefSeq, a predicted model, not a curated record
AGCUUUACGGCAGUGCUUGUGUAUAGUGCUGCGAAGCACGACGGAACUGCACAUUAUUAUACGGUGUGCUCGAAAUCCACUCGAGAUGCAGACGUUUGUGCAGGCAGGAAACGAAUGAUUUAAUUCACGUAGCACAACACGAGAGCGCGCUCUAUGCAGUCCUUUGAUUUAAUAAAACUCUAUUUCUGCCACAGGCUUCACAGCAAUGCUUGUGUAGGGGGCUGUGAAGCUCGACGCAGCUGUAACAACAUCCCACGGUACACCCGAUUUUUACCACGUUUGUUUUAAAGGGCCCCUCACAGGCUACAUAACAAAUUUUGGUUAUACGCUGAAAGUUGUUACGUGCCCUCUAAGAAGUGUUCUACCGCAAGCAUUUUUCAAAUUGGUUCAUUAACAGCAGAGAGAGAAUUAUUAAAGUGCCGCGAACACAUGAUUUCAGGAGGCAAGCGUCGCCGCCUAUAUAAACACUCUCUCGACUUUCCCCGUUUCGCCUGUGUAAGCGAAUUUCCUUCACUGCGUUCUCCCAUACCGGAGCCGAGGGGUCGCGCGGCGGGUAUACCCUGCCGUCUUCUUUUUUUCACCGUCACCGGCACACUUCCGGUGACGGUGUCGUGCGAGCUGUUGCGCUUGUCUCGUUUCCUGUAGCGGACGAUAAUGCGCGCUCUACACGAGAACACAUGAUUAGCGGUAUAAGUCAGUGCCCCAGCACUGAGGCAAACGCGAGGGGAUGAAGGAGCAUGAUCGCAAUGCUGGAACACAGUAGACAAUGACGUAUAGUUUCGUUCUCUGCGCGCGUGCAAACGUCGGAAAAAGGAGACGAAAUGGAAAUUCAUAUUGCUACAGUGCGAAGUAAAACAAAAGCACCCAGACAUUCGGGUUGUAUUUUUCAUUAUUUCUUUAAACUUUAAUUAGUCCACUGAAGCAACGUACAGAUUCAACAAAUAACUGAUGCUGCUUUGAAUCUAAGUCACGUGUCACUCUGAAUGACAUCACAGCACAGCCUGUGCUCCUACGCAGCAGCAAAGUUAUGGGCAUUCAUCUGCUUGCUGCUGCGAUAACAUUAUGACACUUGAACUCAGAGUGAUUGUUCUACAAGUGAUCAACAUCAGCUAAACAAGGGAGGCCUCUGCCUGCAGCCAGUGUUUCAACAAGAGGACUAGUUGACAAAGAUGAGUUUGUCACAACGUUGGCUCCAGCCCAAAACAUUCCUUAUUCGACUUGUAUUUACAUCUUCCUGUGAAUCUGUUUGUUGCUCCAACUCCAAUACACAAAGAUGAGUGGAA